This 95-nucleotide microRNA precursor is filed under the name Phlebotomus papatasi. RNAcentral describes it as "microRNA mir-241". Lineage: Eukaryota; Metazoa; Arthropoda; Insecta; Diptera; Psychodidae. The record is from RNAcentral.
GCCGAGAGACGACUUAGUGGAAAAUGAUGGAAAUGUAGAAAUAAUAGUUAAACUACAUUUCUAUCAUUUUCUACUAAGUCGUCUUUCGGCUUAAG